GCCUGAUGGAGGGGGAUAACUACUGGAAACGGUAGCUAAUACCGCAUAACGUCUUCGGACCAAAGUGGGGGACCUUCGGGCCUCAUGCCAUCAGAUGUGCCCAGAUGGGAUUAGCUAGUAGGUGGGGUAAAGGCUCACCUAGGCGACGAUCCCUAGCUGGUCUGAGAGGAUGACCAGCCACACUGGAACUGAGACACGGUCCAGACUCCUACGGGAGGCAGCAGUGGGGAAUAUUGCACAAUGGGCGCAAGCCUGAUGCAGCCAUGCCGCGUGUAUGAAGAAGGCCUUCGGGUUGUAAAGUACUUUCAGCGAGGAGGAAGGGGUUGUGGUUAAUAACCUUGGCAAUUGACGUUACUCGCAGAAGAAGCACC
Molecule: ribosomal RNA, 371 nt
Filed under: Cronobacter dublinensis subsp. dublinensis
Lineage: Bacteria; Pseudomonadati; Pseudomonadota; Gammaproteobacteria; Enterobacterales; Enterobacteriaceae
Description: bacterial SSU rRNA
Rfam family: Bacterial small subunit ribosomal RNA
Source: RNAcentral